GCCGGGCGUGGUGGCUCAUGCCUGUAAUCCCAGCACUUUGGGAGGCUGAGGCGGGUGGAUCACCUGAGGUCGGGAGUUCAAGACCAGCCUGACCAACAUGGAGAAACCCCGUCUCUA
RNAcentral lists this non-coding RNA (117 nucleotides) under Pan paniscus (pygmy chimpanzee). The record is from Rfam by way of RNAcentral. RNAcentral also lists the same sequence under 1 other name. Lineage: Eukaryota; Metazoa; Chordata; Mammalia; Primates; Hominidae.